GAUUACUUCUGUGGCCUCAGGAGUUCCUGGAGCUCAAAGCCUCAUUAAGAUGGAUGGUCCAGGAAAACCUUUCUUCUUUGUGAAAACUUAAGAAUAAAACUACCUAGAUUUGGGGCAAAGGAGUCAACUAGAAGACACCUAAUCUUAAUGAGGAAGAUUUAAGGUCCAGAAACAUUAUUAUAAUAGCAAGAAGAAGGAGGAGGAAGAGGAGGUAGAAAAGAAGUGAGG
This is a long non-coding RNA of Suricata suricatta (meerkat), 228 nucleotides long. RefSeq lists it as uncharacterized. The record is from RefSeq and is a predicted model, not a curated record. NCBI's taxonomy places the organism in Eukaryota, Metazoa, Chordata, Mammalia, Carnivora, Herpestidae. The transcript has 3 exons.